UACGGAGGGUGCAAGCGUUAAUCGGAUUUAUUGGGUUUAAAGGGUCCGUAGGCGGGAUACUAAGUCAGUGGUGAAAGGCUGUCGCUUAACGAUAGCACUGCCAUUGAUACUGGUAUUCUUGAGUAUAGUUGAGGUGGGCGGAAUAAGUCAUGUAGCGGUGAAAUGCAUAGAUAUGACUUAGAACACCGAUUGCGAAGGCAGCUCACUAAGCUAUUACUGACGCUGAGGGACGAAAGCGUGGGUAGCAAACAGG
RNAcentral lists this unclassified non-coding RNA (253 nucleotides) under uncultured Cryomorphaceae bacterium. RNAcentral describes it as "contains 16S-23S intergenic spacer region". It matches the Rfam family "Bacterial small subunit ribosomal RNA", at positions 524 to 776 of the family's 1533-position model. The record is from RNAcentral. Lineage: Bacteria; Pseudomonadati; Bacteroidota; Flavobacteriia; Flavobacteriales; Cryomorphaceae.